RNAcentral lists this ribosomal RNA (253 nucleotides) under uncultured bacterium. RNAcentral's name for it is "partial 16S ribosomal RNA". It matches the Rfam family "Bacterial small subunit ribosomal RNA", at positions 524 to 776 of the family's 1533-position model. The record is from RNAcentral.
UACGUAGGGUGCGAGCGUUGUCCGGAAUUACUGGGCGUAAAGCGUGCGCAGGCGGUUCGCUAAGACCGAUGUGAAAUCCCCGGGCUUAACCUGGGAACUGCAUUGGUGACUGGCGGGCUAGAGUAUGGCAGAGGGGGGUAGAAUUCCACGUGUAGCAGUGAAAUGCGUAGAGAUGUGGAGGAAUACCGAUGGCGAAGGCAGCCCCCUGGGCCAAUACUGACGCUCAUGCACGAAAGCGUGGGGAGCAAACAGG